CCAAUAGCGUAUAUUAAAGUUGUUGCAGUUAAAAAGCUCGUAGUUGAAUUUCGGGGUCAGUAGGUCGGUCGUGCCACUGGUAUGAACUGGUUUUACUGAUUCCUCCCUCUUGAAGAACUGUAAUGCCAUUAAUUUGGUGUUGCAGGGAAUCAGGACUGUUACUUUGAAAAAAUUAGAGUGUUUAAAGCAGGCUUUAGCUUGAAUACAUUAGCAUGGAAUAAUGAAAUAGGACGUUUGAUCCUAUUUUGUUGGUUUCUAGGAUUGACGUAAUGGUUAAUAGGGAUAGUUGGUGGCAUUUGUAUUCAAUUGUCAGAGGUGAAAUUCUUGGAUUUAUUGAAGACUAACUACUGCGAAAGCAUUUGCAAAGGAUGUUUUCAUUAAUCAAGAACGAAAGUUAGGGGAUCGAAGACGAUCAGAUACCGUCGUAGUCUUAACCAUAAACUAUGCCGACUAGGGAUCGGAUGAUGUUAAUUUUUUAAUGACUCAUUCGGCGCCUUACG
Molecule: ribosomal RNA, 500 nt
Filed under: uncultured Glomeromycotina
Lineage: Eukaryota; Fungi; Glomeromycota
Description: partial small subunit ribosomal RNA
Rfam family: Eukaryotic small subunit ribosomal RNA
Source: RNAcentral